AUUGAACGCUGGCGGCAGGCCUAACACAUGCAAGUCGAACGAGUGGCGGACGGGUGAGUAAUGUCUGGGAAACUGCCCGAUGGAGGGGGAUAACUAAUGGAAACGGUAGCUAAUACCGAAUACAAUCGGAUGUGCCCAGAUGGGGUUAGCUAGUAGGUGGGGUAACGGCUCACCUAGGCGACGAUCCCUAGCUUGUCUGGGAGGAUGACCAGCCACCCGGGAACUGAUCACCGGUCCAGACUCCAACGGGGGGCAGCAGUGGGGAAUAUUGCACAAUGGGCGCAAGCCUGAUACGGCCCUGCCCGGUGUAUGAAGAAGGCCUUCGGGUUGAAAAGUACUUUCAGCGAGGAGGCGGUACUCGCACAAUAAGCACCGGCUAACUCCGUGCCAGCAGCCGCGGUAAUUC
RNAcentral lists this ribosomal RNA (406 nucleotides) under uncultured bacterium. RNAcentral's name for it is "partial 16S ribosomal RNA". It matches the Rfam family "Bacterial small subunit ribosomal RNA", at positions 30 to 526 of the family's 1533-position model. The record is from RNAcentral.